UGGGGAAUCUUCCGCAAUGGACGAAAGUCUGACGGAGCAACGCCGCGUGAGUGAUGACGGUCUUCGGAUUGUAAAGCUCUGUUAAUCGGGACGAAAGAGCUCUGUGUGAAUAAUGCAGAGAAGUGACGGUACCGGAAUAGAAAGCCACGGCUAACUACGUGCCAGCAGCCGCGGUAAUACGUAGGUGGCAAGCGUUGUCCGGAAUUAUUGGGCGUAAAGCGCGCGCAGGCGGGUUUUUAAGUCUGUCUUAAAAGUUCGGGGCUUAACCCCGUGAGGGGAUGGAAACUGGAAACCUAGAGUAUCGGAGAGGAAAGCGGAAUUCCUAGUGUAGCGGUGAAAUGCGUAGAUAUUAGGAAGAACACCAGUGGCGAAGGCGGCUUUCUGGACGAAAACUGACGCU
Molecule: ribosomal RNA, 400 nt
Filed under: uncultured bacterium
Lineage: Bacteria
Description: bacterial SSU rRNA
Rfam family: Bacterial small subunit ribosomal RNA
Source: RNAcentral